CGUUUAGCAUCAAUUCAAGAAAUUGAAGAAAAUUGUCCAGCAUCACAUCCUAUAAUUGUUGUAAAAGGAACUUGGUUUGAUUCAGAAGAUUUUUAUAUUUUGGUGGAAAAGAAAGUGUGCUAUACCUUCACUGAAGAUUUACCAGCUAUUGGGGCAUUGUUUGCUGUUCAUUAUGUAAUGAAUAUGCAAUAUCAUCCAAGUGUUUUUGCUUCAUUAGAGUUUAUUCAAAGAUACAUGGUCGACUACAAUCCUGAUAAAGGGAAAAGAAAUGCUAAAGGAAAGAAAAAAGGAGCACUCAUUUGCCCACGCAUUGUCACAUUAAUUCGAGAAUUAAAUAGUUUUGGUUUGAACUCCGUUUGAAUAAAAGUUUUUUAAA
Molecule: non-coding RNA, 376 nt
Organism: Hydra vulgaris (swiftwater hydra)
Lineage: Eukaryota; Metazoa; Cnidaria; Hydrozoa; Anthoathecata; Hydridae
Source: RefSeq, a predicted model, not a curated record